Molecule: ribosomal RNA, 493 nt
Filed under: uncultured Desulfobulbus sp.
Lineage: Bacteria; Pseudomonadati; Thermodesulfobacteriota; Desulfobulbia; Desulfobulbales; Desulfobulbaceae
Description: bacterial SSU rRNA
Rfam family: Bacterial small subunit ribosomal RNA
Source: RNAcentral
CAGAAACUUAAAGGAAUUGACGGGGCCCGCACAAGCGGUGGAGUAUGUGGUUUAAUUCGAUGCAACGCGAAGAACCUUACCUGGUCUUGACAUCCCGGAGACCCUUAGGAAACUAGGGGGUGCUUCCAUCUGGAAGAAUCUGGAGACAGGUGCUGCAUGGCUGUCGUCAGCUCGUGUCGUGAGAUGUUGGGUUAAGUCCCGCAACGAGCGCAACCCUUGCCUUUAGUUGCCAGCAGUUCGGCUGGGCACUCUAAAGGGACUGCCGGUGUUAAACCGGAGGAAGGUGGGGAUGACGUCAAGUCCUCAUGGCCUUUAUGACCAGGGCUACACACGUACUACAAUGGCCGAUACAAAGGGCAGCGACACUGCGAGGUGAAGCCAAUCCCGUAAAAUCGGUCUCAGUCCGGAUUGGAGUCUGCAACUCGACUCCAUGAAGUUGGAAUCGCUAGUAAUCGUGGAUCAGCAUGCCACGGUGAAUACGUUCCCGGGCCUU